UACGGAGGUCUCGAGCGUUGUUCGGAUUCAUUGGGCGUAAAGGGUGCGUAGGUGGCGGGGUAAGUCAGGUGUGAAAUCUCGGGGCUCAACCCCGAAACUGCACUUGAUACUGCCUUGCUCGAGUACUGGAGAGGAGAUUGGAAUUUACGGUGUAGCAGUGAAAUGCGUAGAUAUCGUAAGGAAGACCAGUGGCGAAGGCGAAUCUCUGGACAGUUACUGACACUGAGGCACGAAGGCCGGGGGAGCAAACGGG
This 253-nucleotide ribosomal RNA is filed under the name uncultured bacterium. RNAcentral's name for it is "partial 16S ribosomal RNA". It matches the Rfam family "Bacterial small subunit ribosomal RNA", at positions 524 to 776 of the family's 1533-position model. The record is from RNAcentral.